CCCAAAAAAAGGCCCGGGCAAGMCCGUKCCCACCGGCCGCGGUAAUCCCGCGGCUUGGAGUGGUGCCCACUUUAAUUGGGCUAAAAGCUUUCGUASYGGGGUUUUUAAGUCUCUGGGGAAAUYGGGCAGCUUAACUGUCAGGCGUCUAAGAGAUACUGGCAAUCUAGGAACCGGGAGAGGUGAGGGGUACUUCGGGGGUAGGAGUGAAAUCCUGUAAUCCUYKWGGGAGAGARCCUGUGGCGAAGGCGCCUCACCAGAACGGCUUCGACAGUGAGGGACGAAAGCUGGGGGAGCAAWCCGGCUUUUUCCCGGGUAGUCCCAKCCGUAAACGAAGCGRGAGGCCAYCUGACCACGAGUCAUCGAGGUG
Molecule: ribosomal RNA, 367 nt
Filed under: uncultured Methanomicrobia archaeon
Lineage: Archaea; Methanobacteriati; Methanobacteriota; Methanomicrobia
Description: partial 16S ribosomal RNA
Rfam family: Archaeal small subunit ribosomal RNA
Source: RNAcentral